UAAUGCCUGCGGUAUGCGUGAUGACUGUUUGUUUAUGAACUGAUGACCUACCGGGAGUCGUGUCGGCCGUGGCGGACAAGCCUGGCCUACCAGGAAGUGUGAAGCGGAAGCGGCAGACACCCACUUGAACGAAAGUUCAGCAAUUACGAUGGUCACACGGUACCGCGGGCUUUAU
This 175-nucleotide non-coding RNA is filed under the name Candidatus Cloacimonadota bacterium. RNAcentral describes it as "6S RNA". It matches the Rfam family "6S / SsrS RNA". From Rfam's summary of the family: E. coli 6S RNA was the first non coding RNA to be sequenced, but its function was unknown until recently. It consists of 184 nucleotides that fold into an extended hairpin structure with a large single-stranded internal bulge. The record is from RNAcentral. Lineage: Bacteria; Pseudomonadati; Candidatus Cloacimonadota.